AUAGCCGCUGAAGAGGAAGGAGCUUCAUUCAUCCAGUAAAAUUUGGAGAGUACUUCCUAUUUGCAUAGCAUGUUCUGAUAUUAAUACAGCUGUGUCUCUUGCAGUCCCCAGUAAAAUUGAAGAUCUAAGAUCACAUCGAGGAUCUUUAUUAGCAGCAGCAAAUGAGGAAAUGCACCUGCUACUUGAUGCGAAGACCUGCUUCCGUCGGUCAUGCCAUGUAGAAUCUGAAUUGCGCCCUGUAGGGGCGAGAGCUUUACUGUUUGGCAGAGGAUGGUGGUCGCCAACCUCCCGGCAGGUGAAGAGAGAGAGGUCUCCCAGUCUGCGUCACCCGAAGAGUAAUACUUCUCCAACUCGAAAUUCGUCAACAUUCACAUCAUCUACAGUAAAAUUCCAUGUGUUUAGUUACAGUUAAUCGCCGAAUUAUAAAGAGCAUUAGAUAGCCGUAUGGUCUCGGUAGGGUUUAUUCUAUGCCUUUGAAAACAACCCUGUUAAUUGACUAAAAUCACUGAAUUCCAAAGAAAAUUGAUAAGGGCCUAUGAGCACCCUGGAAAUUUUUUUUUCCUGUUUGAAAAAGGUGGCUAUUUUGUUGUUUAAACCAUCAGAAUUACACAAUAGUCAACCGAAAGAGUUUGAAAUACAAUAAAUUGUCUGGAACGUGCACAGACCCGCCACGUAUAUGGAGUUUUUCUGUCUAUACUGUCUAUACUGAUAGUCUUCUUUAUACACGCAUGACGUUGAGUGUAGAAUAUUAUAACCAAACAUUCAAAUUGCAUUCAAGUAGUGGUACUUUUAUUCAUAAACAUAACAUGAAUCAAUCACACGAGUACGAUUCACAAUAAUGUAAAUAGCAAGGUGAUGGGAUAUCCCUCCAAACGACGCCGAUACAAAUUCCUCCAUAUCUCUGCAGUACACUAAAUUUAGCCCCUCGUGUUUCGACAA
This 939-nucleotide long non-coding RNA is filed under the name Ananas comosus (pineapple). RNAcentral's name for it is "long non-coding RNA (ACOM_LNC028959)". Lineage: Eukaryota; Viridiplantae; Streptophyta; Magnoliopsida; Poales; Bromeliaceae. The record is from RNAcentral.